This 208-nucleotide ribosomal RNA is filed under the name uncultured bacterium. RNAcentral's name for it is "partial 16S ribosomal RNA". It matches the Rfam family "Bacterial small subunit ribosomal RNA", at positions 568 to 774 of the family's 1533-position model. The record is from RNAcentral.
UGCGUAGGCGGGUCUUUAAGUCAGGGGUGAAAUCCUGGAGCUCAACUCCAGAACUGCCUUUGAUACUGAAGAUCUUGAGUUCGGGAGAGGUGAGUGGAACUGCGAGUGUAGAGGUGAAAUUCGUAGAUAUUCGCAAGAACACCAGUGGCGAAGGCGGCUCACUGGCCCGAUACUGACGCUGAGGCACGAAAGGCGUGGGAAGCAAACA